Molecule: microRNA precursor, 198 nt
Filed under: Oryza glumipatula
Lineage: Eukaryota; Viridiplantae; Streptophyta; Magnoliopsida; Poales; Poaceae
Description: MIR812 microRNA precursor family
Rfam family: MIR812 microRNA precursor family
Source: Rfam by way of RNAcentral
UAUAAGUGCACUUGUAAAUUUUCGUAUCCAUCGGAUGUCUCAUUUAAAAAAAUUGUGAUUAGUAUUUUUAUUGUUAUAAUUAGAUGAUAAAACCUAAAUAAUACUUUAUGUGAGUAAUUUUCUUUAACAUCUUUGUAACUUUUUUAAAUAAGACGAACGGUCAAACGUUGUACACGGAAACCCGCAACCGCACGCACU